CUACGUGCCAGCAGCCGCGGUAAUACGUAGGUGGCAAGCGUUGUCCGGAAUUAUUGGGCGUAAAGCGCGCGCAGGCGGAUUGGUCAGUCUGUCUUAAAAGUUCGGGGCUUAACCCCGUGAUGGGAUGGAAACUGCCAAUCUAGAGUAUCGGAGAGGAAAGUGGAAUUCCUAGUGUAGCGGUGAAAUGCGUAGAUAUUAGGAAGAACACCAGUGGCGAAGGCGGCCUUCUGGGCCAUAACUGACGCUGAGGAGCGAAAGCUAGGGGAGCAAACAGGAUUAGAUACCCUGGUAGUCCUAGCCGUAAACGAUGGACACUAGGUGUGGGGGAAUAUUUCUUCCGUGCCGCAGCUAACGCAUUAAGUGUCCCGCCUGGGGAGUACGGCCGCAAGGCUAAAACUCAAAGGAAUUGACGGGGGCCCGCACAAGCGGAGGAACAUGUGGUUUAAUUCGAUGAUACGCGAGGAACCUUACCCGGGCU
This 478-nucleotide ribosomal RNA is filed under the name uncultured bacterium. RNAcentral describes it as "bacterial SSU rRNA". It matches the Rfam family "Bacterial small subunit ribosomal RNA", at positions 501 to 981 of the family's 1533-position model. The record is from RNAcentral.